RNAcentral lists this small RNA (352 nucleotides) under Histoplasma ohiense. RNAcentral describes it as "hypothetical lncRNA". The record is from RNAcentral. Lineage: Eukaryota; Fungi; Ascomycota; Eurotiomycetes; Onygenales; Ajellomycetaceae.
GUGAACCAGAAAUCCCAGACACUCAGGUUGUCAAUGGCCAUUUCACUAUGGAGUUCUAGCUUCUCCAUUACUCUCUUGCUAUGACUCCAAUCAUCCGCAAAGUUCAGUCACUUUCCGUUAAUCCUUGCCCCAUUCCUUAGCUGUUUCUUUUCUUUUUGUGAGAAAAUGGCGUGUGCAAGUCUGAGUUAGUAUACGAGAGGUUUGAAAGACGGUAUGUAUCAGAAGCAAGUGAGCGGAUACAGACAUCACCGAGGAAUUUUUUGUUCUACAUAUAUUCACAGUUCAAAACGAGAUAACUGCCCAGGAACCCAAGUUGACACAGGAAUAUACCUCUACAAACGCAGACCGUCUC